RNAcentral lists this ribosomal RNA (243 nucleotides) under uncultured bacterium. Its description in RNAcentral is "partial 16S ribosomal RNA". It matches the Rfam family "Bacterial small subunit ribosomal RNA", at positions 793 to 1034 of the family's 1533-position model. The record is from RNAcentral.
GUCCAUGCUGUAAACGAUGUUCACUAGGUGCAGGUGGUAUCGACCCCUUCUGUGCCGAAGCUAACGCGUUAAGUGAACCGCCUGGGGAUUACGACCGCAAGGUUAAAACUCAAAGAAAUUGACGGGGGCCCGCACAAGCAGUGGAUCAUGUGGUUUAAUUCGACGAUACACGUAGAACCUUACCUAAACUUGACAUCCUUGGAAUCCUUUAGAAUUAAAGGAGUGCCUUCGGGAACUGAGUGA